RNAcentral lists this long non-coding RNA (400 nucleotides) under Mytilus galloprovincialis (Mediterranean mussel). The record is from RNAcentral. Lineage: Eukaryota; Metazoa; Mollusca; Bivalvia; Mytilida; Mytilidae.
CUUACAUUUCCUGUAACUCAAAAAGAUUUAAUUUGAUUUUCACUAAAAGGUUUACAGAUCGUUUGACCAUUAUAAGAAAUAACUAUGUUAAAUUUUAAGAAAUAAGAUAAGCUGUCCUCAAGUUACGGUGCGACAUGUUUAUGUUGGACAGACGGAUAGACGGAUAGAUAGACGGACGGACGGACGGACCGAAUGACUGAUAGAUGGAGGAACGGACGGAUGAAAGGACGGACGGACGGACAGGUGGGCGGACAGACGGACAGACGGAUGUAUACAAUUAUACGUCCUGUCAAAAUUGUGACGGGAGUGAAAAAACGCAAAGAAAUAAAAAAAAACUCGUAAUUAAAGGUCAAUAAGUUUUAUUAGGAUGUCGGCCAAGUCGACUUAUUUGUAUAUUUUG